Myotis lucifugus (little brown bat) is the source of this 107-nucleotide small nuclear RNA. Lineage: Eukaryota; Metazoa; Chordata; Mammalia; Chiroptera; Vespertilionidae. The record is from Ensembl.
GUGCUCUCUUCGGCAGCACACAUACUAAAAUUGGAACGAUACAGAGAAGAUUAGCAAGGCCCCUGUGCAAGGAUGAGAUGCAAAUUUGUGAAAUGUUCCAUAUUUAA